Long non-coding RNA from Prosopis cineraria, 220 nucleotides. RefSeq lists it as uncharacterized. The record is from RefSeq and is a predicted model, not a curated record. NCBI's taxonomy places the organism in Eukaryota, Viridiplantae, Streptophyta, Magnoliopsida, Fabales, Fabaceae. The transcript is spliced from 3 exons.
GUUAAUCCUAAUGGCGAAAUCAAGUUGGCUGAUUUUGGAAUGGCGAGACAUGUUGAUUCUUCUUCCUUGAUGUAUUCUUACAAGGGAACCCUAAGGUGGAUGGCACCAGAGGUGGUAAACAAUAAAAAUGGGUACACUAUUGCUGUGGACAUAUGGAGCUUGGGCUGCACAAUUCUAGAAAUGGCAACUGGAAAGCCUCCGUGGAGUCAAUAUAACAAGG